This 694-nucleotide ribosomal RNA is filed under the name uncultured bacterium. Its description in RNAcentral is "bacterial SSU rRNA". It matches the Rfam family "Bacterial small subunit ribosomal RNA", at positions 140 to 828 of the family's 1533-position model. The record is from RNAcentral.
GGGAUAAUCGGGAGAAAUCCCGUCUAAUACCGCGUAAUGCCGCGGGGCUGCAUGGCCCUGCGGCCAAAGGGAGCGAUUCCGGCAACGGAUGGGCAUGCGUGACAUUAGCUAGUUGGCGGGGCAACGGCCCACCAAGGCGACGAUGUCUAGGGGUUCUGAGAGGAAGGUCCCCCACACUGGUACUGAGACACGGACCGGACUCCUACGGGAGGCAGCAGUAAGGAAUAUUGGUCAAUGGGCGCGAGCCUGAACCAGCCAAGUCGCGUGAGGGAUGACGGCCCUACGGGUUGUGAACCUCUUUUGUCGGGGAGCAAAUUCCGCCACGUGUGGCGGAGUCGAGAGUACCCGAAGAAAAAGCAUCGGCUAACUCCGUGCCAGCAGCCGCGGUAAUACGGAGGAUGCGAGCGUUAUCCGGAUUUAUUGGGUUUAAAGGGUGCGUAGGCGGACUGUCAAGUCAGCGGUAAAAUACGGGGGCUCAACCUCCGCCCGCCGUUGAAACUGACGGUCUUGAGUGGGCGAGAAGUAUGCGGAAUGCGUGGUGUAGCGGUGAAAUGCAUAGAUACCACGCAGAACUCCGAUUGCGAAGGCAGCCUACCGGCGCCCGACUGACGCUGAAGCACGAAAGCGUGGGUAUCGAACAGGAUUAGAUACCCUGGUAGUCCACGCAGUAAACGAUGAAUACUAGCUGUCCGGG